UAAAAAUAUGUGAAUACUUGUAACAACUGGGAUAAAAAAUGAGAGAUCUAAGUUAGCCAUGAAAUGAGUUGCAAAUUUUUCAGGGCAUUCUAAGUUUUUUCUCUUUUCUUUUCUUCUUUUUUUUUGAGACAGGGUCUCACUGUGUUACCCAGACUGCAGUACAGUGAUGUCAUCAUAGCUCACUGCAGCCACCAACCCCUGGGCUCAAGCGAUCCUCCCACCUCAGCCUCCCAAGUAUCUAGGAUCACAGGCACACACUCCCAUGCUUGCGUGCUAAUUUUCUUUUUUUCUUUUUUUUUGAGACAGAUUCUUGCUCUGUCGCCCAGGCUGGAGUGCAGUGGUGUGAUCUCAGCUCACUGUAACCUCCACCUCCCGGGUUCAAAUGAUUCUCCUGCCUCAGCCUCCCGAGUAGCUAAGAUUACAGGUGCCCACCACCAUGCCUGGCUAAUUU
Molecule: long non-coding RNA, 451 nt
Filed under: Homo sapiens (human)
Lineage: Eukaryota; Metazoa; Chordata; Mammalia; Primates; Hominidae
Description: HSALNT0255719
Source: RNAcentral